RNAcentral lists this ribosomal RNA (484 nucleotides) under uncultured bacterium. RNAcentral describes it as "partial 16S ribosomal RNA". It matches the Rfam family "Bacterial small subunit ribosomal RNA", at positions 29 to 507 of the family's 1533-position model. The record is from RNAcentral.
AUUGAACGCUGGCGGCAUGCUUUACACAUGCAAGUCGAACGGCAGCGCGGGCUUCGGCCUGGCGGCGAGUGGCGAACGGGUGAGUAAUGCAUCGGAACGUGCCCAGUAGUUGGGGAUAGCCCGGCGAAAGCCGGAUUAAUACCGCAUACGACCUGAGGUUGAAAGCGGGGGACCGAAAGGCCUCGCGCUAUUUGAGCGGCCGAUGACGGAUUAGCUAGUUGGUGGGGUAAAGGCUUACCAAGGCGACGAUCCGUAGCUGGUCUGAGAGGACGACCAGCCACACUGGGACUGAGACACGGCCCAGACUCCUACGGGAGGCAGCAGUGGGGAAUUUUGGACAAUGGGGGCAACCCUGAUCCAGCCAUGCCGCGUGCGGGAAGAAGGCCUUCGGGUUGUAAACCGCUUUUGUUCGGGAAGAAAUCCUCUGGGCUAAUACCCCGGGGGGAUGACGGUACCGGAAGAAUAAGCACCGGCUAACUACGUG